RNAcentral lists this ribosomal RNA (487 nucleotides) under uncultured bacterium. RNAcentral describes it as "partial 16S ribosomal RNA". It matches the Rfam family "Bacterial small subunit ribosomal RNA", at positions 28 to 507 of the family's 1533-position model. The record is from RNAcentral.
GACGAACGCUGGCGGCGUGCUUAACACAUGCAAGUCGAACGGGCUCUGUCUGGCUGUGUGCUGGGUGGGGUUAGUGGCGAACGGGUGAGUAAUACGUGAGUAACCUGCCCUCUUCUUUGGGAUAAGCCUUGGAAACGGGGUCUAAUACUGGAUAUUCCUGUCUGGUCGCAUGGCUGGGUGGGGAAAGUUUUUUUCGGUGGGGGAUGGGCUCGCGGCCUAUCAGCUUGUUGGUGGGGUGAUGGCCUACCAAGGCGUCGACGGGUAGCCGGCCUGAGAGGGUGACCGGCCACACUGGGACUGAGAUACGGCCCAGACUCCUACGGGAGGCAGCAGUGGGGGAUAUUGCACAAUGGGCGCAAGCCUGAUGCAGCGACGCCGCGUGGGGGAUGACGGCUUUCGGGCUGUAAACCUCUUUCGUCGGGGGACAAGGCUCUGCUUGGUGGUGGGGUUGAGGGUACCCGGUGAAGAAGCGCCGGCUAACUACGUG